ACUCCACGAAGAUCUGGCGGAGCGGCCCUUGAAGGUUAUCAGCCGCCGCCUUGAACUCAGGAUUCCUUACAAAAUGAGUCUGGUUGUAGUCAGUCUUGAACUCAUUGAGCAAAGCCUCGAACUCGGCCUGGUUGAGAUUCUUGUUGAUCUCCGCAUUGAACAACUGCUCCAUCUCGUCAAAAUCCGUGGUGUAGAACCUCGGAGUCAGCAACGACUCGUUUAUCUCCGACUUCCCCUUGCCGGAUUUCUUCGGUGCAUUUGCGGUGGUUGCGGCGGUUGCGGCGGCGGAGACUCUGAAGUUGGAGUGAGGCCUUAGAGAGGCGAACCUUGAAGUGGGUCUGGCGAACUUGGUGAUGGGGUUGAUUGGUUUGAUGAGGGCAAGCUCUGCUGUAGCCGCCAUUGCUG
This 405-nucleotide unclassified non-coding RNA is filed under the name Hevea brasiliensis (rubber tree). Lineage: Eukaryota; Viridiplantae; Streptophyta; Magnoliopsida; Malpighiales; Euphorbiaceae. The record is from RNAcentral.